This 273-nucleotide ribosomal RNA is filed under the name Campylobacter jejuni. Its description in RNAcentral is "partial 23S ribosomal RNA". It matches the Rfam family "Bacterial large subunit ribosomal RNA", at positions 1 to 292 of the family's 2925-position model. The record is from RNAcentral. Lineage: Bacteria; Pseudomonadati; Campylobacterota; Epsilonproteobacteria; Campylobacterales; Campylobacteraceae.
AAAGGUAAGCUACUAAGAGCGAAUGGUGGAUGCCUUGACUGGUAAAGGCGAUGAAGGACGUACUAGACUGCGAUAAGCUACGGGGAGCUGUCAAGAAGCUUUGAUCCGUAGAUUUCCGAAUGGGGCAACCCAAUGUAUAGAGAUAUACAUUACCUAUAUAGGAGCGAACGAGGGGAAUUGAAACAUCUUAGUACCCUCAGGAAAAGAAAUCAAUAGAGAUUGCGUCAGUAGCGGCGAGCGAAAGCGCAAGAGGGCAAACCCAGUGCUUGCACU